Molecule: long non-coding RNA, 246 nt
Filed under: Phaseolus vulgaris (common bean)
Lineage: Eukaryota; Viridiplantae; Streptophyta; Magnoliopsida; Fabales; Fabaceae
Description: long non-coding RNA (PVUL_LNC002131)
Source: RNAcentral
AAGUCCGUCCUCCUCGCCCUUGAGCGAGUGCAGGCGAGAAGAGAAGAAGUCUUCCUCGCCUUUAAGCGAGUGCAGGCAAGAACAGAGGAAGUCCUCCUCGCCUUUGAGUGAGUGCAGGCAAGAACAGGUUAAAAGUCCUCAGUGCAUCCAGGGGGGAGGAGAUGUACACCCCGGGCAAAUUGAGGCACCAGAGAAAGCCCUUCUCACCUCAGAGUGAGUUCAGGCAAGAUGAAGCUGGAAGGCCAA